RNAcentral lists this non-coding RNA (23 nucleotides) under Cricetulus griseus (Chinese hamster). The record is from RNAcentral. Lineage: Eukaryota; Metazoa; Chordata; Mammalia; Rodentia; Cricetidae.
AAAAGACCAAGGAAUAACAUUGC